CCGCAUUUCCAAGUCUUUCACACACUUCACGAAGGCAAUCAGUGUGCUGAUUUUAUGAUUAAGCUUGGUGCUAUUGACCAAUUUAACAUCAUUGUUCACACUUCUCCUCUGCAUCGUGUCAAGGACUUGCUUGCUACUAAUGCUUCGAGAACUUUUUGUUGAGAGCGUACUCUCUCGUUUUUCUUUUCUUUUAUUCUGUCUUAG
This 204-nucleotide long non-coding RNA is filed under the name Medicago truncatula (barrel medic). RNAcentral describes it as "long non-coding RNA (MTRU_LNC004436)". The record is from RNAcentral. Lineage: Eukaryota; Viridiplantae; Streptophyta; Magnoliopsida; Fabales; Fabaceae.